GUCUACAGCUGUGCCACCCUGAACGUGCCCGAUCUCAUCUGACCUUGGAAGCUAAGCAGAGUCGGGCCUGGUUAGUGCUUGGAUGGGAGACCACCUAGGAAGACCAGGUGCUGUAGGCA
This 119-nucleotide ribosomal RNA is filed under the name Pteropus alecto (black flying fox). The record is from RNAcentral. Lineage: Eukaryota; Metazoa; Chordata; Mammalia; Chiroptera; Pteropodidae.